Molecule: ribosomal RNA, 858 nt
Filed under: Staphylococcus aureus
Lineage: Bacteria; Bacillati; Bacillota; Bacilli; Caryophanales; Staphylococcaceae
Description: partial 23S ribosomal RNA
Rfam family: Bacterial large subunit ribosomal RNA
Source: RNAcentral
GACGAAUCAUCUGGAAAGAUGAAUCAAAGAAGGUAAUAAUCCUGUAGUCGAAAAUGUUGUCUCUCUUGAGUGGAUCCUGAGUACGACGGAGCACGUGAAAUUCCGUCGGAAUCUGGGAGGACCAUCUCCUAAGGCUAAAUACUCUCUAGUGACCGAUAGUGAACCAGUACCGUGAGGGAAAGGUGAAAAGCACCCCGGAAGGGGAGUGAAAUAGAACCUGAAACCGUGUGCUUACAAGUAGUCAGAGCCCGUUAAUGGGUGAUGGCGUGCCUUUUGUAGAAUGAACCGGCGAGUUACGAUUUGAUGCAAGGUUAAGCAGUAAAUGUGGAGCCGUAGCGAAAGCGAGUCUGAAUAGGGCGUUUAGUAUUUGGUCGUAGACCCGAAACCAGGUGAUCUACCCUUGGUCAGGUUGAAGUUCAGGUAACACUGAAUGGAGGACCGAACCGACUUACGUUGAAAAGUGAGCGGAUGAACUGAGGGUAGCGGAGAAAUUCCAAUCGAACCUGGAGAUAGCUGGUUCUCUCCGAAAUAGCUUUAGGGCUAGCCUCAAGUGAUGAUUAUUGGAGGUAGAGCACUGUUUGGACGAGGGGCCCCUCUCGGGUUACCGAAUUCAGACAAACUCCGAAUGCCAAUUAAUUUAACUUGGGAGUCAGAACAUGGGUGAUAAGGUCCGUGUUCGAAAGGGAAACAGCCCAGACCACCAGCUAAGGUCCCAAAAUAUAUGUUAAGUGGAAAAGGAUGUGGCGUUGCCCAGACAACUAGGAUGUUGGCUUAGAAGCAGCCAUCAUUUAAAGAGUGCGUAAUAGCUCACUAGUCGAGUGACACUGCGCCGAAAAUGUACCGGGGCUAAACAUAUUA